UUAAGCGACUAAGCGUACACGGUGGAUGCCCUGGCAGUCAGAGGCGAUGAAGGACGUGCUAAUCUGCGAAAAGCGUCGGUAAGGUGAUAUGAACCGUUAUAGCCGGCGAUGUCCGAAUGGGGAAACCCAGUGCAAUUCGUUGCACUAUCGUUAACUGAAUACAUAGGUUAACGAGGCGAACCGGGGGAACUGAAACAUCUAAGUACCCCGAGGAAAAGAAAUCAACCGAGAUUCCCCCAGUAGCGGCGAGCGAACGGGGAGCAGCCCAGAGUCUGAAUCAGCUUGUGUGUUAGUGGAACGGUCUGGAAAGUCCGACGGUACAGGGUGAUAGUCCCGUACACCAAAAUGCACAGGCUGUGAACUCGAAGAGUAGGGCGGGACACGUGGUAUCCUGUCUGAAUAUGGGGGGACCAUCCUCCAAGGCUAAAUACUCCUGACUGACCGAUAGUGAACCAGUACCGUGAGGGAAAGGCGAAAAGAACCCCGGCGAGGGGAGUGAAAAAGAACCUGAAACCGUGUACGUACAAGCAGUGGGAGCACCUUCGGGUGUGACUGCGUACCUUUUGUAUAAUGGGUCAGCGACUUAUAUUCUGUAGCAAGGUUAACCGUAUAGGGGAGCCGCAGGGAAACCGAGUCUUAACUGGGCGUUAAGUUGCAGGGUAUAGACCCGAAACCCGGUGAUCUAGCCAUGGGCAGGUUGAAGGUUGGGUAACACUAACUGGAGGACCGAACCGACUAAUGUUGAAAAAUUAGCGGAUGACUUGUGGCUGGGGGUGAAAGGCCAAUCAAACCGGGAGAUAGCUGGUUCUCCCCGAAAGCUAUUUAGGUAGCGCCUCGUGAAUUCAUCUUCGGGGGUAGAGCACUGUUUCGGCUAGGGGGUCAUCCCGACUUACCAACCCGAUGCAAACUACGAAUACCGAAGAAUGUUAUCACGGGAGACACACGGCGGGUGCUAACGUCCGUCGUGAAGAGGGAAACAACCCAGACCGCCAGCUAAGGUCCCAAAGUCAUGGUUAAGUGGGAAACGAUGUGGGAAGGCACAGACAGCCAGGAUGUUGGCUUAGAAGCAGCCAUCAUUUAAAGAAAGCGUAAUAGCUCACUGGUCGAGUCGGCCUGCGCGGAAGAUGUAACGGGGCUAAACCAUGCACCGAAGCUGCGGCAGCGACACUAUGUGUUGUUGGGUAGGGGAGCGUUCUGUAAGCCUGCGAAGGUGGCCUGUGAGGGUUGCUGGAGGUAUCAGAAGUGCGAAUGCUGACAUAAGUAACGAUAAAGCGGGUGAAAAGCCCGCUCGCCGGAAGACCAAGGGUUCCUGUCCAACGUUAAUCGGGGCAGGGUGAGUCGACCCCUAAGGCGAGGCCGAAAGGCGUAGUCGAUGGGAAACAGGUUAAUAUUCCUGUACUUGGUGUUACUGCGAAGGGGGGACGGAGAAGGCUAUGUUAGCCGGGCGACGGUUGUCCCGGUUUAAGCAUGUAGGCUGGUUGUCCAGGCAAAUCCGGAUAAUCAAGGCUGAGGUGUGAUGACGAGGCACUACGGUGCUGAAGUAACAAAUGCCCUGCUUCCAGGAAAAGCCUCUAAGCAUCAGGUAACAUUAAAUCGUACCCCAAACCGACACAGGUGGUCAGGUAGAGAAUACCAAGGCGCUUGAGAGAACUCGGGUGAAGGAACUAGGCAAAAUGGUGCCGUAACUUCGGGAGAAGGCACGCUGGUGUGUAGGUGAAGUCCCUGCGGAUGGAGCUGAGACCAGUCGAAGAUACCAGCUGGCUGCAACUGUUUAUUAAAAACACAGCACUGUGCAAACACGAAAGUGGACGUAUACGGUGUGACGCCUGCCCGGUGCCGGAAGGUUAAUUGAUGGGGUUAUCCGUAAGGAGAAGCUCUUGAUCGAAGCCCCGGUAAACGGCGGCCGUAACUAUAACGGUCCUAAGGUAGCGAAAUUCCUUGUCGGGUAAGUUCCGACCUGCACGAAUGGCGUAAUGAUGGCCAGGCUGUCUCCACCCGAGACUCAGUGAAAUUGAACUCGCUGUGAAGAUGCAGUGUACCCGCGGCAAGACGGAAAGACCCCGUGAACCUUUACUAUAGCUUGACACUGAACAUUGAGCCUUGAUGUGUAGGAUAGGUGGGAGGCUUUGAAGCGUGGACGCCAGUCUGCGUGGAGCCAACCUUGAAAUACCACCCUUUAAUGUUUGAUGUUCUAACGUUGGCCCCUGACCGGGGUUGCGGACAGUGUCUGGUGGGUAGUUUGACUGGGGCGGUCUCCUCCCAAAGCGUAACGGAGGAGCACGAAGGUUAGCUAAUCCUGGUCGGACAUCAGGAGGUUAGUGCAAUGGCAUAAGCUAGCUUGACUGCGAGCGUGACGGCGCGAGCAGGUGCGAAAGCAGGUCAUAGUGAUCCGGUGGUUCUGAAUGGAAGGGCCAUCGCUCAACGGAUAAAAGGUACUCCGGGGAUAACAGGCUGAUACCGCCCAAGAGUUCAUAUCGACGGCGGUGUUUGGCACCUCGAUGUCGGCUCAUCACAUCCUGGGGCUGAAGUAGGUCCCAAGGGUAUGGCUGUUCGCCAUUUAAAGUGGUACGCGAGCUGGGUUUAGAACGUCGUGAGACAGUUCGGUCCCUAUCUGCCGUGGGCGCUGGAGAAUUGAGGGGGGCUGCUCCUAGUACGAGAGGACCGGAGUGGACGCAUCACUGGUGUUCGGGUUGUCAUGCCAAUGGCACUGCCCGGUAGCUAAAUGCGGAAGAGAUAAGUGCUGAAAGCAUCUAAGCACGAAACUUGCCCCGAGAUGAGUUCUCCCUGAGACUUUAAGUCUCCUGAAGGAACGUUAAAGACGAUGACGUUGAUAGGCCGGGUGUGUAAGCGCAGCGAUGCGUUGAGCUAACCGGUACUAAUGAACCGUGAGGCUUAACCUU
Molecule: ribosomal RNA, 2900 nt
Filed under: Klebsiella pneumoniae
Lineage: Bacteria; Pseudomonadati; Pseudomonadota; Gammaproteobacteria; Enterobacterales; Enterobacteriaceae
Description: 23S ribosomal RNA
Rfam family: Bacterial large subunit ribosomal RNA
Source: RNAcentral